Long non-coding RNA from Copidosoma floridanum, 2474 nucleotides. The record is from RefSeq and is a predicted model, not a curated record. Lineage: Eukaryota; Metazoa; Arthropoda; Insecta; Hymenoptera; Encyrtidae.
CCGAAAUACCGAUCACCCGACGAGCGCAUUGGGCGACGACGAAGUCGAUGUGAUUGGAUACACGAGCAACCAAUCGGACUCCGAUGAUCACAGCAGCGUGCAAAGCAGCAGCGACAGCGGCGUUGCCAUGUCCACCUCCAGGCUGACCCUCUCCGAGAUGAUGGACAAUCUUUAGACAAAAAGAUGGCGCGGCGGAGGUGGCGGCGGCAAGAAGAGGAGACGGGGGGAGAUGAAAAAGAGCACCUUGAUGGUCAAGCGCUGAAGAUUGGGGAAGAGGACGCGGGACAGCAACAACGACGACAACUGGAAGAUCGGCAUCGAGUGACAGAACUUUUACGAAAAGAAAAACAAACAAACAAAUACAAAACAAAGAUCUCGUGGGUUAUCCACAAAAGGACAAACAAGUAGCACGCGUGAAGCUUGGUGGGCACAGCGAAUAGGAACUACCUACAAAACCACGAGGCACGGGUUUAUCGGCAACAUCCGUACUUGCCGACGAAUCGCGGGUAAUGACGUCCAAAGUGAAUUUGUACGCAUAUGAAUAUUCUGUUGGAGGAGUGAGGAGGAAUAUUUUUCACCGGCCACCCAUUUGAGUGUUGACACGCGAUCCCAGGUCCAGCGCUUUAAUCCACUGCACCCCUUUUUUUUUCCUGCGCGCGUGAAAGAGACCAAAUUUUUCUUCAUCUUCUUGUUCUCCUUCUUUUUGUAACUGAUCAUCUGAAAUAAUUGUUCUUGUUCGGAAGGGCAAGAGCCAAAGAUUCGAGUAAAAUGGAAAGAAAUGAUUUGUUGUUGUUUUACGUAUGGCUACUAUGAUGGAUGCGAGGGUGAGAAAAUUUUUCUGCCAGAGGCGUUUUGCCAGUGUUGCGUUGAGUGAGUGAGCGAAGAUUACCACGCGGAGGAUCAAAUGACGAGGACAUGUAAAUUCAACCGAGAGAAUCGAGUGGUAUUUGUACAUAUUAAUGAAAAAAGUAUACAAACAGUGGAAAAUAAAAAAUAAAAAUAAAGCGAACGGCAGUCGAGUGAUUGAACGAACAUCGAAUUAAAAAUUAAAAAAAAAAAAAAAAUGAUGUACAAUGAAAAUGGACUGUUGCAAUUAAUUUUCAUCAAUAACGAAGAAUUUCGAAAUAUCAAGGGAAAAAAAUAUUUUAUAAGUCCUUUUGUAAUUUUCAGAAACAAACAAAAAAACAAAAGCAAACGUAACGGUGUGCAUUUGUUGAGUAAACAAUGUCGGGGAGACUCUAUCUAUGUCUGGCGUAAUCGAGCGUCGUAAUAUACACCCCAGAAAUCCACCCCAUUCUCUUUGUCCCUCGGUCCAUUUUCAUUGUUUCGGUUAUCUUAUGAGCGAAGCAGAUACAGGCGAACACGACAACAAUACGCUGCCGUCGAUACGUAUUACGCAAAAGGUCUCGUCUCGCCCGUUUGACGUGAAAAUUCAGAUGCGUUUUAAAAAAAUACGAUAACAUUGAAAAUUAAAACAACAGAACGCCUGUGCCCCCCCCCACACACACACACCCACACACUCAAAGCGUGAAAGAAACAACGAGGAAAAGCAACAACCGUAACUUCAGCGUGCAACCAGCUUAGGAAGACCGUGUUUCAGUAGAGGACAAAAGAGAAAAAAAAAGAGAAAAAAAAUACACACCGGAAGAAUUGGCCGUUGAUUCGUUUUUUGCAAGAUUGUUGUUGGACGUGCUUUUUAUUAAGAAAUUGGUUUGUAAAAAAAAAAAUUUAUAUGUAUAUACAUACAUACAUAUUUAUAAAUAUAUCAAAUAUAGAAGAGAAUGAAGUGACGAGUGAUUGUUUACGUAUGAGUGUUGCGAGAGUGCGACGAUAAAGAGACGAUGUAGAGUGAAAAAAAAAAAAAAAAAAACAUAAAAUGCAUAUAAAAGGGUUUUCACGAAUGAAGUGAUGAAAUAAGUUGAUUUGUCGUUAAAAAUAUCGAUUUAAUAUUGCCUUUCUCUUGUUUUAUGGUGUUUUCACCCACGCCCGAAAGAACAGAAUUAAGAGAGGAGUUGUGGACAUAUAAAUAUAUUUUUCAAGGGGUGCGGUCGAUUAUUGAUGAAAAAAUUCGUUGUAACAGUUACCGUACAUCUUAUCUGAAAUUAAAAAAAAAAGACCUACUCAAUAUCUUGAUAAAUAUUUAUAAAAGCAUGAAAUCAAACUUUUUGAUACACGAUUUAGGAAAUACAUGCAGGAACAAUAAUUUUUCUCAUUUAAUCAAUCGUCCUCUUGAAACGCAAAAACAAAAGCAAAAAACAGAGGGAGAAAUCGGAAUUCCAGUUAUGGUUAUAGAUCAUCACAAGAGAUCAAAAACAACUUGUUAAAACAACAUUUUUUCGGAAAUUCGGUAUCCCUCCCAUAUUUUGAUUUGAUUUACCGUGCAGAGAUCGCACGACAACCAGAGCAAACGAGAACCGCGAAUUAUUAGGAUAACUAUUAAUUCACUAGAAAAAAAAAAAAAAAAAAAAAAAAAA